Hydractinia symbiolongicarpus is the source of this 828-nucleotide RNA transcript. RefSeq lists it as uncharacterized. NCBI's taxonomy places the organism in Eukaryota, Metazoa, Cnidaria, Hydrozoa, Anthoathecata, Hydractiniidae. The record is from RefSeq and is a predicted model, not a curated record. The transcript has 4 exons.
GCAUAUUCUUAUGGAAGGAAAGAUCUUUCUGCUGUUUUUCAAUAGCUGAUGUUUUUAAAACAGAAAUAAUUUUAUUUUUCAAAAGAGAUAAAAGUUUAAUAUUUCUAAAGAUUAUACAAUAUGAUAAAUCUAAAUUUUGAAAUAUUGUACUCGCGUGGUUUCAAACCUGUAACAAAGAAACACGUUACAAAAUACCCUCUGAUUGAUGCAUGCACAUAACAUGGUGACAGUCUUCAUUGCGAUGAUAUUUAUUUUCAUCACUUCACUGCCGACAUCUUUUCAAAAAGAAGAGAAAGGAAAAAAUACUCAGCGAAUUUGUAACAGUGCGUUUCAAGAAGCAUGGAAACAAUUAUGUGCAUUAAAAGCGAAAAAAAGGUUUGGUCGAUCAAUAAUAAAAGAGACUAUCCAUAACCUCCAACAGAGCGAUUUUAUCAAACCGAAUGAUGCGCUUCAAUUUCUUCAUCCAUUACAUCGAAAGCGACGGCAAACAGACAAUUUGAAUGCCCACGAAGAAUGCUGCAUCGAAACAUGCAGCUUAGAAGAAGUCAAUGAGUAUCCUUGCUAGCAGUAACUUCAAUGCUGUUAGACGAAUAAAGAUAGCUAGUCACAACAUGACAAUUUUAUUUAUUAUGGUUAGCUGUUUCGAAAAUGUCUAACGUGGCGUUUGUAAUAAUUACUUCUGUUAUUAAAGAAUUGACAUAUUAAAAGCUUCGGGAAAGAAAAUCUAUACAUUUUGUAAAAUAUAUAUCAAGGAUGUAAUUUUAUAUAUUUAUAACGUAUUAUGGACUAUUAAUAAAUAAUAUAGCUACUAAACUAAAGAAAAGAAAA